This 580-nucleotide ribosomal RNA is filed under the name uncultured bacterium. RNAcentral describes it as "bacterial SSU rRNA". It matches the Rfam family "Bacterial small subunit ribosomal RNA", at positions 338 to 917 of the family's 1533-position model. The record is from RNAcentral.
CCUACGGGAGGCAGCAGUGAGGAAUAUUGGACAAUGGAGGCAACUCUGAUCCAGCCAUGCCGCGUGCAGGAAGACUGCCCUAUGGGUUGUAAACUGCUUUUAUAUAGGAAGAAACCUUGGUACGUGUACCAAGCUGACGGUACUAUAAGAAUAAGGAUCGGCUAACUCCGUGCCAGCAGCCGCGGUAAUACGGAGGAUCCAAGCGUUAUCCGGAAUCAUUGGGUUUAAAGGGUCCGUAGGUGGAUAAUUAAGUCAGAGGUGAAAUCUUGCAGCUCAACUGUAAAAUUGCCUUUGAUACUGGUUAUCUUGAGUUAUUAUGAAGUAGUUAGAAUAUGUAGUGUAGCGGUGAAAUGCAUAGAUAUUACAUAGAAUACCAAUUGCGAAGGCAGAUUACUAAUAAUCAACUGACACUGAUGGACGAAAGCGUGGGUAGCGAACAGGAUUAGAUACCCUGGUAGUCCACGCCGUAAACGAUGGUUACUAGCUGUUUGGACCUUGUGUCUGAGUGGCUAAGCGAAAGUGAUAAGUAACCCACCUGGGGAGUACGUUCGCAAGAAUGAAACUCAAAGGAAUUGACGGA